This 3380-nucleotide long non-coding RNA is filed under the name Marmota monax (woodchuck). Lineage: Eukaryota; Metazoa; Chordata; Mammalia; Rodentia; Sciuridae. The record is from RNAcentral.
UUACAUAGUUCUUGACAUAUCAUAUUUCACACUUUGAUUCAAGUGGGUUAUGAACUCCCAUUUUUACCCCGUAUACAGAUGGCAGAAUCACAUCGGUUACACAUCCACUGUUUUACAUAUUUUAUUACAAAAAGUUUUUGUUUUAUUUUGAGGUCAGGCUGGCUUCAAACUUCCAAUCCUCCUCCCUCUGUCCCUGCACAGUAGCUGAGAUUAGAGGUGUGGACCAUUGCACCUGGUUACAGAACAUUUUAAAAAUCUCUUAACAACAACAAAAUAAAACAGGUAGGAAUUUAUGACUCCAGAUGAAAUGUGCAGGUAAAAGCAGAAAAGGGUAGAAGGGCUACCUGCUUCUCAAAUUUCAGCCUCCAAGUCCAGAUUACACACCCUUGACCUCUAAGUGCAGCUGACCCUAUGCAUUCAAAUCCUUCCUACAGGGACCAAGCAGAAGGAUGUAUGAGGGGCAGGUGAGAGAAAAGAGCCAUGAAGGCAAGAGAGCACAACACAGGAGUGAUGAUAAACCUCCAUUCUCUUNUUCCUCCGUUUGCUGAGCCCAGAGCUAAAGUAGCCACCCCCUGCCCUUAGCAAACCAUUGUGAACUUUCCUCAGGCCAUUAGCCAUGUUUGGCUUGGUUUGUCCCCAUCCAUGUAGAUGACCCCAUCUUAAAUCAUCCUAGUGCAGGAAAAUGGCAGAGAGAAGCAGGACAAUGCCCUAGGAGAGGGAGGAAGGAAAAGGGGGGAAGAGGAAGAAAGGGAAUGCAUAAAAUAAAUAAAAGAUGUAAACUAAAGUACUUGUGAUUACAGACCGAUUGUUAUUUUUGCUUAUCCGUAUUUUUUAAUUAUUUGCAGCAAAUGGAUAUUAUUUUUCCAAUAAGAAAAAGAGUUUUGAGUCAGGUAUAGUGGCUCACUGGGAAGCUCGCUGUAAUCUCAGCUACUCAGGAGGUGGAGCUAGAGGAAUCAAGUUCAAAGCCAGCCUGGGUAACUUAGCAAGACUUGGUCUCAACCCAAAAUGAAAAAGACCAGGGAUGUAGCUCAGUGGUAGCACUUGCCUUGCAUAUUGAGUCUCCGAAUUCGAGCCCUAGUCCUGAAGAAAAAAGGAAGUGUUCUGUGUUUUACAAUAGUUAAACCACAAGCUAUAGCAGGAAAUGCACAGACCUAACAUCUCCCAACACAUCCUGUUCAGUUUUGAUCUUAGGUCAACUUGCCCGUCUUAGGUGAUUUGGUAGCUUCAGAUUUCAGACCUGUCCUGUUCUCUAAUGACUUGGGGUAGUUCAUCAUCUUUAGGAAACAUGCUUUUGUUGGGAGGGUUUUUUUUUCUUAAUAACAUAUGACUCAACAGGUAACCAACAAAGAAAACACGCUGAGCGGUGGCACCCGAAUGAGCAGCAUGUACUGGCUCUCUCCAGCACUACUCACAGGCCUUGGGGGCCACGGAGCUAUGAGCACAGAGUGGGUUUCUUCAGGCUGCCAGGGCCUUGGCUUUCCAGGCUGCUCUUCCUUUCAACACCAUUCACACUGAGUUUAUAAGCAGUAUGAACGUUAAAGAGGGAUUGGAGUUCUAAGAGUUUCCAAAUAUGAGGUCAGAAUCUAAGAACUGAUUGUCUAGUUGUGGGUAUUUGCAAGUAGAACCCACUGCUGCUUGGUGCCUUGAUGAUAAGAUGGGAAGCCCACUGAAGCCUUUAAUGUCAUUCCACACAAGUUCCCUCCUGCCCCGAAGACCCUGCUGCAGCCUUCGCCCAUCUCCUGCCCUGUUAUGUUCCUUCUUUUCCAUUCCUGCUUGAGAUGGCCCAUGGUUGUUAGAUUUAAAAUCACGUCAACAUUGAUUCCACCUGAUUCUACACUCAGCCUGAGGUUUCUGUGAUCAAGUGCUACCAAAAGAAAAUUGGAGGUGACCUGGGAUGACUUCAGGAGCUUCUCUGGGAGAAGUGGGCUUACCAAGCCCUGGAAAGAUGCAUCAGUGCGGUGCAGAGAGAGAGAGAGUUUGCAUGAGGGCUCAGAGGCAGGACUGGGUCAAAACCCAUCUGGCUUGGGCAGAGAAUUUUAGAUGGAACCUUCUCCCAGAAGCUAGAGUACAUGCUCAAAAUGCAUUUUUUUUUUUUUUGAAAGGAUGAAUGGGCUGGUAAGGAUGGAAGACUGAGCUGGUUAAUUUGGGUUUUGUCUUGACUGUGAGGUCCUGAGAAGUGCAUGCUUCUAAGCAGCUAGUGAUAAGCUAAAUGCGAUUUGGAAAGACGUAUCUGCGCCGGAUGGGACAGGUAGGGAAGGGUGAGCUGGUGGGGAGGAAGGGAAACUGUGGGCAGGAGAGAAAGGACUUAGGAGGCAGCUACAAAAGACUGUUGUGAAAUAAGAACCACUGGAUUUUAGUGUCUAACUGAGUGUGAAGGUUCCAAACAAGGAAAGAAGAAAAGACGGUGCUGACGUAAAAAUCUGGGGAGACUCGGUUCACUCUCCAACUCCUUUCCCAUUUAUUCUUUCUCUGAUUGAGCAACAGGGAUUGUGCAUUUACCUUGUGGCAGGCCCUGUGAAAAGAGCUGGAGAUUAAAAAAUAAUAUCUUUUUUAACCAGAUGGAUAAAAGAAUCAGUAUCUGCCCUGAAAAAGUUUAGAGGCUAGUACAAGAGCAGAGCAGAUCAACACAACGGUGGAAAUGAUGCGGGGAGGCCAAGCUCAUGGGGGCACUGGAGCUGCAGAGCAUAGAAGGUCUUUAAUCUCCAGUUGUUGCCAUCGCAUGGACACCCCCACACACACCAGCUCACUCUGCCAAGGUUUAGAGAGAGAUGUAAACUGGAAAAGCUCCCCAGGGAGGAGGAUCCCUGAGUAGCCUGCUACCCUUCCCUGAUGGAGAGGAGUGGUGGGUGGAACCUGGUAGCGCCAGGGUACCACAGGUGUGAUUCGAUCUCUGCCUAACUUCUUACCUACCUUCCUCCCACUGGUCUACAGACAUUGCUGAGAAUCCUGAAGGUAGGAGCUGGAAAAGAUAAUUUAGUAUCCACUCCCUUAUUUUAGAUGAAGAAACUCCCCUGGCAAGGUUUCUUGGUCUUCAGACCUCUCUCCCUGUUCUUCAAUAAAACUGUGUGGGGUCAGUAGAAAGCUAAGAAAUAAACACAUAAUAAGGUGCAAAUGAAGCCACAGCCAGUGUCAAGAGCUGAUAAUGACUCAAUAUGUUUUUCCUUCUAGAAUAAUUUACAUUUUAUUUUAUUUUUUUUAAUUUUUAUUGUUGGUUGUUCAAAACAUUACAUAGUUCUUGACAUAUCAUAUUUCACACUUUGAUUCAAGUGGGUUAUGAACUCCCAUUUUUACCCCGUAUACAGAUGGCAGAAUCACAUCGGUUACACAUCCACUGUUUUACAUAUUUUAUUACAAAAAGUUUUUGUUUUAUUUUGAGGUCA